RNAcentral lists this ribosomal RNA (496 nucleotides) under uncultured bacterium. RNAcentral describes it as "partial 16S ribosomal RNA". It matches the Rfam family "Bacterial small subunit ribosomal RNA", at positions 29 to 507 of the family's 1533-position model. The record is from RNAcentral.
ACGAACGCUGGCGGCGUGCCUAAUACAUGCAAGUUGAGCGCUGAAGGUUGGUACUUGUACCAACUGGAUGAGCAGCGAACGGGUGAGUAACGCGUGGGGAAUCUGCCUUUGAGCGGGGGACAACAUUUGGAAACGAAUGCUAAUACCGCAUAAAAACUUUAAACACAAGUUUUAAGUUUGAAAGAUGCAAUUGCAUCACUCAAAGAUGAUCCCGCGUUGUAUUAGCUAGUUGGUGAGGUAAAGGCUCACCAAGGCGAUGAUACAUAGCCGACCUGAGAGGGUGAUCGGCCACAUUGGGACUGAGACACGGCCCAAACUCCUACGGGAGGCAGCAGUAGGAAAUCUUCGGCAAUGGACGAAAGUCUGACCGAGCAACGCCGCGUGAGUGAAGAAGGGUUUCGGAUCGUAAAACUCUGUUGGUAGAGAAGAACGUUGGUGAGAGUGGAAAGCUCAUCAAGUGACGGUAACUACCCAGAAAGGGACGGCUAACUACGUG